AAUGAACGCUGGCGGCAUGCCUAACACAUGCAAGUCGAACGAGACCUUCGGGUCUAGUGGCGCACGGGUGCGUAACGCGUGGGAACCUGCCCUUAGGUUUGGCAUACCUCCCCGAAAGGGGUGCUAAUACCGGAUCAUGUCUUCGGACCAAAGAUUUAUCGCCUUUGGAUGGGCCCGAGUUGGAUUAGCUCGUUGGUAGGGUAAAAGCCUACCAAGGCGACGAUCCAUAGCUGGUCUGAGAGGCUGGUCAGCCACACUGGGACUGGGACACGGCCCAGACUCCUACGGGAGGGAGGAAUGGGGAAAAUUGGACAAUCGGCGAAAGCCUGAUCCAGCAAUGCCGCGUGAGUGAUGAAGGCCUUAGGGUUGUAAAGCUCUAUUACCCGGGAUGAUAAUGACAGUACCGGGAGAAUAAGCUCCGGCUAACUCCGUG
This 433-nucleotide ribosomal RNA is filed under the name uncultured bacterium. RNAcentral's name for it is "partial 16S ribosomal RNA". It matches the Rfam family "Bacterial small subunit ribosomal RNA", at positions 29 to 507 of the family's 1533-position model. The record is from RNAcentral.